This 253-nucleotide ribosomal RNA is filed under the name uncultured bacterium. RNAcentral's name for it is "partial 16S ribosomal RNA". It matches the Rfam family "Bacterial small subunit ribosomal RNA", at positions 524 to 776 of the family's 1533-position model. The record is from RNAcentral.
UACGUAGGGUGCGAGCGUUGUCCGGAAUUACUGGGCGUAAAGAGCUCGUAGGUGGUUUGUCGCGUUGUUCGUGAAAACCGGAGGCUCAACCUCUGGCGUGCGGGCGAUACGGGCAGACUUGAGUACUGCAGGGGAGACUGGAAUUCCUGGUGUAGCGGUGAAAUGCGUAGAUAUCAGGAGGAACACCGGUGGCGAAGGCGGCCCUCUGGACGGUGACUGACGCUGAGACGCGAAAGCGUGGGGAGCAAACAGG